UACCAUUGUUUUCAGUGUGA
RNAcentral lists this microRNA (20 nucleotides) under Saccoglossus kowalevskii. Its description in RNAcentral is "sko-miR-4822-5p". The record is from miRBase by way of RNAcentral. Lineage: Eukaryota; Metazoa; Hemichordata; Enteropneusta; Harrimaniidae.